Molecule: ribosomal RNA, 500 nt
Filed under: uncultured bacterium
Lineage: Bacteria
Description: partial 16S ribosomal RNA
Rfam family: Bacterial small subunit ribosomal RNA
Source: RNAcentral
GACGAACGCUGGCGGCGUGCCUAAUACAUGCAAGUCGAGCGGACGGAUUAAGAGCUUGCUCUUAUGACGUUAGCGGCGGACGGGUGAGUAACACGUGGGCAACCUGCCCUGUAGAUCGGGAUAACACCGAGAAAUCGGUGCUAAUACCGGGUAAUAUCUGAGAUCACAUGAACCUAGGGUAAAAGAUGGCUCCGGCUAUCACUACAGGAGGGGCCCGCGGCGCAUGAGCGAGUUGGUAAGGUAAUGGCUUACCAAGGCGACGAUGCGUAGCCGACCUGAGAGGGUGAUCGGCCACACUGGGACUGAGACACGGCCCCGACUCCUCCGUGAGGCAGCAGUAGGGAAUCUUCCGCAAUGGACGAAAGUCUGACGGAGCAACGCCGCGUGAGUGAUGAAGGGUUUCGGCUCGUAAAGCUCUGUUGUUAGGGAAGAAACAGUACCGAACGAACUAGGUCGGUACCUUGACGGUACCUAACCAGAAAGCCACGGCUAACUACGUG